This 778-nucleotide ribosomal RNA is filed under the name uncultured Neocallimastigales. RNAcentral's name for it is "partial large subunit ribosomal RNA". It matches the Rfam family "Eukaryotic large subunit ribosomal RNA", at positions 24 to 635 of the family's 3401-position model. Lineage: Eukaryota; Fungi; Neocallimastigomycota; Neocallimastigomycetes; Neocallimastigales. The record is from RNAcentral.
UAUGUGAUCGUCUCUCGCAUAUCAAUAAGCGGAGGAAAAGAAACUAACAAGGAUUCCCUUAGUAACGGCGAGGGUGGAAGCGGGAAGAGCUCAAAUUUGAAAUCUUCAAGGUUUUACCUUGACGAAUUGUAGUUUAAAGAAGUGUUUUCUGUUGAAGUUUUGGUAAAAGUUCUUUGGAAUAGGACAUCAUAGAGGGUGAGAAUCCCGUAUUUGACCAUUAUUUUCAGCUGUGUGAUACACUUUCAAAGAGUCGGAUUGUUUGGGAAUGCAGUCCAAAAUGGGUGGUGAAUUUCAUCUAAAGCUAAAUAUUGGCGAGAGACCGAUAGCGAACAAGUACCGUGAGGGAAAGAUGAAAAGAACUUUGAAAAGAGAGUUAAACAGUACGUGAAAUUGUCAAAAGGGAAGCGUUUGACACCAGUGUUGUUUUCUCGAAAAUCAAUUAAAAAGAGUUUAGAUUUUGUUGUGUAUUGACCUUAACAGCUUGCAUUUCAAUUUUCUUGCUUUUUUUAAUGCACUUUUCGUUUAACAAGUCAACAUCAGUUUCUUUUGUUGUAAAAAGGUCAUUGGAAGGUGGCUUUCUUUUCGGAGAAAGUGUUUAUAGCCUUUGACUCCUGCAAUCGGAGAGACUGAGGUCUGCAGCGUAGAUCCUUCGGGGUUAGAUACAUUUGUGCUAAGUUAUAGCUUUUUAUAGACAACUUGUUGACUAUGAUUAGUCUUGUAGCUUACUCGCUUAUGCUAUUUUACCUACGCUUAGGAUGUUGAAGAUGUAGCACAUCAU